GCACCACAAGAACGCGUGGAGCAUGUGGCUUAAUUUGACUCAACGCGGGAAAUCUUACCGGGUCCGGACACACUGAGGAUUGACAGGCAAUAUCUCAUGGUUAUUAACCGGUUAUUUAUUUAAUCGGUUAUUAAGCAUCAGUGUUAAAUAUGCUAGUCCUUUCAUGAUUAUGUGAUAGGUGGUGCAUGGCCGUUCUUAGUUCGUGGAGUGAUCUGUCUGCUUAAUUGCGUUUCACUAAGGGCCCAUAAAUUCAAGGUAUGUUAGCUAUCGUCGCUCUAUGGACCCCUUAUACUCGAUUUCCUUUAAUUAGCGUUAUUUGUUUAA
This 324-nucleotide ribosomal RNA is filed under the name Neogloboquadrina pachyderma. Its description in RNAcentral is "partial 18S ribosomal RNA". It matches the Rfam family "Eukaryotic small subunit ribosomal RNA", at positions 1164 to 1433 of the family's 1831-position model. Lineage: Eukaryota; Foraminifera; Rotaliida; Globorotaliidae. The record is from RNAcentral.